AACGAGCGCUGGCGGCAUGCCUAACACAUGCAAGUCGAACGGUGUUCCCGCUUCGGUGGGGCGAUAGUGGCGCACGGGUGGAGUAACGCGUGGGAACCGUCGCCCACUGGUACGGGAACAACUCCGGGAACGUAGGGCGUAAUACCGUAUGUGUCCCGACGGGACGAAAGAAUUGAUCGCCAUGGGAGGGGCCCGCGUAGGAUUAGCUUGUUGGCGGGUAACGGCCCGCCAAGGCUACGAUCCUUAGCUGGCUGAGAGGAUGAUCAGCCACACUGGGACUGAGACACGGCCCAGACUCCUACGGGAGGCAGCAGUGAGGAAUAUUGCGCAAUGGACGAAAGUCUGACGCAGCGACGCCGCGUGGGGAUGAA
This 371-nucleotide ribosomal RNA is filed under the name uncultured bacterium. RNAcentral describes it as "bacterial SSU rRNA". It matches the Rfam family "Bacterial small subunit ribosomal RNA", at positions 28 to 412 of the family's 1533-position model. The record is from RNAcentral.